UACGAAGGGGGCUAGCGUUGUUCGGAAUUACUGGGCGUAAAGCGCACGUAGGCGGAUAUUUAAGUCAGGGGUGAAAUCCCGCAGCUCAACUGCGGAACUGCCUUUGAUACUGGGUAUCUUGAGUAUGGAAGAGGUAAGUGGAAUUCCGAGUGUAGAGGUGAAAUUCGUAGAUAUUCGGAGGAACACCAGUGGCGAAGGCGGCUUACUGGUCCAUUACUGACGCUGAGAUGCGAAAGCGUGGGGAGCAAACAAG
RNAcentral lists this ribosomal RNA (253 nucleotides) under uncultured bacterium. RNAcentral's name for it is "partial 16S ribosomal RNA". It matches the Rfam family "Bacterial small subunit ribosomal RNA", at positions 524 to 776 of the family's 1533-position model. The record is from RNAcentral.